This 479-nucleotide ribosomal RNA is filed under the name Placozoa sp. H4. Its description in RNAcentral is "partial 16S ribosomal RNA". Lineage: Eukaryota; Metazoa; Placozoa. The record is from RNAcentral.
AAGGGGAGGGGGACCCUACGGGUCUAGGGAAUACCCCGGAUCCGUUUUGCCCCCUGUCCCUAGCUUCAUAAUAAAAUUGUGGAGACUAUGUGGCAAAAGAAAAACAAGGGAUUUAAAAGAACGGGGGGGGGGGNNNNNNNNNNGGGUCCCCCCCCCGGGAUCCGAAGGGUCCGCCACGCCCCGUCCCGAUUUAUAUGAAAAACCACUCUUUUUAUUAAGAUUACUGUCUAACACCGUACAAGUAAGAUAGUUUGGUUGGGGCGACCGCCUUCGAAAAAGUAUCGAAGGCGCACAUAAGAUUAAUCAGGAGAAGGAUCCGAAGGAUCUUUUUCUCGGGGGCAAUGUCCCAAAAAAAGGAGAUUAAUUUGACUGAGAGGGCAACAACCCGAACAGACGUCAAAGGAUAGACCGGGGGGGGAAUCCUACAGAUUCCUUCCCCCCCUUCUUUUGGCGGGUCAUAGUGAUCCGUUGUUAUAUUG